Molecule: ribosomal RNA, 254 nt
Filed under: uncultured bacterium
Lineage: Bacteria
Description: partial 16S ribosomal RNA
Rfam family: Bacterial small subunit ribosomal RNA
Source: RNAcentral
UACAGAGGUCUCAAGCGUUGUUCGGAUUCAUUGGGCGUAAAGGGUGCGUAGGUGGCGCCGUAAGUGGGGUGUGAAAUUUCGGAGCUUAACUCCGAAACUGCAUUCCAUACUGCGGUGCUUGAGGACUGGAGAGGAGACUGGAAUUCAUGGUGUAGCAGUGAAAUGCGUAGAGAUCAUGAGGAAGACCAGUGGCGAAGGCGGGGUCUCUGGACAGUUCCUGACACUGAGGCACGAAGGCUAGGGGAGCGAACGGG